Podarcis lilfordi (Lilford's wall lizard) is the source of this 74-nucleotide non-coding RNA. The record is from the annotation of a GenBank genome assembly. NCBI's taxonomy places the organism in Eukaryota, Metazoa, Chordata, Lepidosauria, Squamata, Lacertidae.
AUCUGGAUACCUUAGUUGGUUAGAGUGUGGUGCUGAUAACAUCAAGGUUGUGGGUUUGAUCCCCGUAUGGGACA